GGGGUGGGGGAACAGAAUGGGCCCCUUGCCAGUGGGUGCACACCGCCAGAGAGGGGCCUUGACAAGCUCAGUAGCCGGGUCAGACCCUAGCACUUUCUGGCUGCAAACCCGGACAAGCCUCCUAGCCCUCUGGGCUGGGCGGGGGCGGGUGUGUGUUUGUGUGUGCCCUUUCCACGCGCCAGGCAGCCCCCCCAGGUCUUGGCCCACUUCAGGCUGCUCCCCAGAGGGCCCUCCCUCUCUCACCCGGAUCUGUGGGCAGAGUCACCCUCUUCACUGGCAUCCUGUCCUUCUCUGCUAAAAGGGCCACCUCCUGCUGUGUCCCAUCCUCGUCCUUAGGCUGUCACAGGCUCACAGCGCUGUCUAGCAGUGUAUUUCGCUGAUUUUUCUUAUCGUCUGCCGUGCCCAGUGUCUGAGCAGCUCCCAGAGGACAAGAAUUUCCAACUCCGUCUGCCCAGCCCCUAGGUCAGUGCCCGGCCCACAGUAGGCCCUCGAUAAAUACUUGUCAAAUGAAUGAAUGGACAGAUCAGCAAAGUGAGAAAACCAGGGAGUUCCCGUCAUGGCGCAGUGGUUAACAAAUCCGACUAGGAACCAUGGGGGAUCGAACCCGCAUCCUCUUGGAUACUAGUUGGGUUUGUUAACCACUGAGCCACAGCGGGAGCUCCAGGGCCAGCUUCUUUGAGGGGUUCUGUCCACAGGGACUGCAGGGACUUUAUUGUGUCUCACUGUGCGUAUGUGAUGCAUUCAGAGAAACACAAGGAAUAGGAGAGCCACCCAGCCACCCAGCCUCGGGGAGAAAGGGUGAUGCAUACAGCUUGUCCCCGCUCCAGACUUCCCUGCCCGCAAUCCCGCAGGCUUUUUCGAGCCCCUGGAUAGUUUCCUCGUCUGUACAGUGGAGGUAACAGUCGCAUUGAGAAUUGUCAUCGUGCGUGUUUGCUGAGCACCCGCCGUGGGCCAAGCACCCCGGGCACAGGGACUGCACCUGUCAGCGGACAGCCGAGGCCCCCACCCUCAUGGGUGCACAUCCCAGCGCGUAGCCCCCCAGCCCCGCUCGCUGAUGGCUGAGAGGUCGCCCCUGGGCAGAGACAGACCUGGCCUCCAGGCUGCCCCCAGCCCAGCCUGGCGGCUCUGCCUGGACCGGGAGCCUGUCAAGUCACGCCCUCAGUGUGGCCAGUCUGAGCCCCAACCCUGAACACCUGCACCCUCAUAACCAAGCUGGCACCUCGCGUGACUAAUGCAAGUUCUUCAGAAGUCAAGAACCAUCGAGACUUAGCCAGCCAGCCCUCCCCAUUCUGCUUUCGAACUUUCGAGAUGAUCAAAGAUAGAGAAAAACAAUGUGUGUGUGUGCUUGUGUAUCUGUGUCUGUGUGUGUGGUUGUACCUUUGCGCGUGGUUGUAUCUGUCUGUCUGAGUGUGUGGCUGUGUGUGUCAGGAUUCCAUGUAUUUCUGCGUGUCUCUGGGUUUAUGUGCUUCUGUAUCUUGUGUAAUUGUACAUGUGUGUCUGUUAUAUGCGUCCGGGUGGGUCUGCGUGUGUUAGUGUGUCCUGUGUGUGUGUGUGUUACGUAUUUGUCUCUAGUUGUAUAUUUUGUAUGGUUGUGUAUGUAUCGGGGUGUGAUUGUGUGUGUGUGUGGUUGUGGGUGUGUGUCUUGUGUGUGUCUGAGGACGUGUGCUGGGAAGGUUGUUGCGGACACGUGGCUCUGAUCAUGCAAAUAUCUGUUUGCAAGAGGAGGUGGCUAGGGCCUGGUUUGAAUAACCAAAUGACGAGGGCGUGGGCCCCAGACCCUGUGUCCCUCCCUGAGUGGCUCCAGAAGCCUCCUCCAAGGUCAGGUGCAAACCUUGAAAGACUGAACGGGAGCAAGUGGUGCCCAGGGCCCAGGAGCUUCAGCUCUACGCAUCCCCCCCUCCGACCCCUCACCUCGGGGGCGCAGUGCUGGGGGCCGGGGACCCGCUGGCAGGAGACGGAGGGAGGCCGACCUUGUGCAUUAUUCAGCAGCUCCUGAUUUCACAUUAUUCUCCCUGAUACUUUUACAACCUGUCAGUAAAUAAAAAGAUUCUACAUUAUUUAUAGAAAUGGAGCAGAAUUGGCCAUGAGGAUUUAGGAUUGCUAUUAUUAGGGAGUCCUCGGGACCUCGGGAAUGGGGUGGGGCGGGGAGGCACGAGCAGGAGGGGUGGGAGGGGGCCUCGGCCGGUUGCUUUCCUCUGGGCGACUCCCAGGCGAGCGAGCUGGCCCAGAGGCCAGUGGCUGGCUCCCCGCUAGCCUGGGGCUCCUGGGGGGGGUGCUGCGGCCAGUCCUGCCAGCUGUGCCCCCUCCAGGCGGGCCUCCUGCUGGGUGGCCAUGGCUUUGGCCACAGGUGGUGGGAAGGGACCACCCAGGAAGCAGGAGAGGAAGGGCCCUGGCAGCAGGGUGCUGGGGAGCAGGCAGGGGCCCUAGUUACAGUGUGAAGGGAGCACCUACUGUGUACACAGGGCACUGCACAUGUGGGGGCAGGGCAGGCGUCCCAGGGACUGACUGCAGUUGGCCUGUCCCUGUGUCCUCCAAGGGUCCAGUCGGGGCGGGAAAGGUGCCGCACACGGUCCAGGCGCACUGGGCUCGUGCGCCCUGGUCCAACGCCCACACCCCCGUCCCCUGGUGGACGCCACGUCCUGUUCUGCCCGGGGCCCUUGCUCUGGAUGAGUCACAGCUCUAUUUCAGGCUGUCACCUUUAGCACAUGUGUGCAGCUGACCGGUGGCCACCCUGCUGUGAGAGUGUGACUCUCAGCCUGGGUCCCGCCAGCUCCUGCCGGGAUGUUUUAACUUUGCCCUUUCCACGUGGACAGCCGUCUAAGUGUAAUGAACUCCGGCAUGUUCUGGUGAGCGGGCGACCAGCCUUCCUCCGAGCAUUUCCAGGGACGCAGGGCGUGUGUCCGAGCACCGUCGCAUCCGCACAGAACUGCCCUCCGGGCGGCUGCCAGCACCGCACCCCCGGCUUCUCAGAACCAGAGCCCGCACCUGUUAAGGGUGCCCCAUGAGGGAACUGCUUUCUCACAAGCCCUGCAGCCCUCACAUCUGAGAACUGCUGGCCCAGAGAGGGCAAGAAUCCUGUGCCAUUUGUCUGGGAGCCCAGCUUCCAGCACACAGUAGGUGCCUUACGGAGUCUGGACCUGAGUUGGCUGGCUAAGCGUUAUCCAUCCUUUGGAAACCUGCUGCCCAGGGAAGAGGCAAAAUGAGCCAGUGGGCGCUGAGACGGGGAAGUGGCCUGUCGUCAGGGCAUGGUAUCUUGUGACCUGAAUCCAGAGAUGCUGAGGGGCCCUGGGGAGCGGAGACACGGCUGCGAUGGAGUUGAUCCGAGACACGGGCCGUGAAGGGGAGACGGGAGUGGCCCAGGAGGACUGAGCAGAGUUUGCAGAGGUGACAGAAGACAGCCUCGCGGCUGAGAGGGAGCUGACCAGGAGCUGGAAGCGUGCAGGUGGGGAGUUCCCGUCGUGGCGCAGUGGUUAACGAAUCCGAGUAGGAACCAUGAGGUUUCGGGUUCGAUCCCUGGCCUUGCUCAGUGGGCUAAGGAUCCGGCGUUGGCACGAGCUGUGGUGUAGGUCACAGACAGCUUGGAUCCCAUGUUGCUGUGGCUCUGGCAUAGGCUGGUGGCUACAGCUCUGAUCAGACCCCUAGCCUGGGAACCUCCAUAUGCUGCAGGUGCAGGCCUAGAAAAG
Molecule: long non-coding RNA, 3683 nt
Filed under: Sus scrofa (pig)
Lineage: Eukaryota; Metazoa; Chordata; Mammalia; Artiodactyla; Suidae
Description: lncRNA (ENSSSCG00060038985.1)
Source: RNAcentral